Molecule: non-coding RNA, 104 nt
Organism: Chlamydomonas reinhardtii
Lineage: Eukaryota; Viridiplantae; Chlorophyta; Chlorophyceae; Chlamydomonadales; Chlamydomonadaceae
Source: Rfam
UUGUGCUUCGGCACAACUGCUAAAAUUGGAAAAAUACAGAGAAGAUUAGCAUGGCCCCUGCGCAAGGAUGACAUGCACAAAUCGAGAAAUGGCUCCAAAUUGUU